CCUACGGGAGGCAGCAGUGGGGAAUAUUGGGCAAUGGGCGCAAGCCUGACCCAGCAACGCCGCGUGAAGGAAGAAGGCUUUCGGGUUGUAAACUUCUUUUCUCAGGGACGAAGAAAGUGACGGUACCUGAGGAAUAAGCCACGGCUAACUACGUGCCAGCAGCCGCGGUAAUACGUAGGUGGCAAGCGUUAUCCGGAUUUACUGGGUGUAAAGGGCGUGUAGGCGGGACUGCAAGUCAGAUGUGAAAACCACGGGCUCAACCUGUGGCCUGCAUUUGAAACUGUAGUUCUUGAGUACUGGAGAGGCAGACGGAAUUCCUAGUGUAGCGGUGAAAUGCGUAGAUAUUAGGAGGAACACCAGUGGCGAAGGCGGUCUGCCGGGGUGCGACUGACGCUGAGGCUCGAAGGUGCGGGUAUCAAACAGGAUUAGAUACCCGAGUAGUC
RNAcentral lists this ribosomal RNA (443 nucleotides) under uncultured bacterium. RNAcentral describes it as "partial 16S ribosomal RNA". It matches the Rfam family "Bacterial small subunit ribosomal RNA", at positions 338 to 795 of the family's 1533-position model. The record is from RNAcentral.